Molecule: transfer RNA, 690 nt
Filed under: Sphingomonas sp. SLAU-11
Lineage: Bacteria; Pseudomonadati; Pseudomonadota; Alphaproteobacteria; Sphingomonadales; Sphingomonadaceae
Description: partial contains 16S ribosomal RNA, 16S-23S ribosomal RNA intergenic spacer, and 23S ribosomal RNA
Rfam family: tRNA (bases 179-252)
Source: RNAcentral
GGCAGAAGCGCCUGAUCGGACUUCGGUUCGCACAUCGGGAAGGGCUUCUUCCAUUCCAAAGAACAUUGCCGUCGUCCUCAUGUCCCUUCAUCCUGGAGAAUUUGCCGCGUUGGUGUGGCAAAUGAAGCCGCCUUUGGGCAGCACGGGCUUGCCCGCCGAGGCCAAAAGGUCGCAGGUGGGGCCGGUAGCUCAGGUGGUUAGAGCGUACGCCUGAUAAGCGUAAGGUCGGAGGUUCGAGUCCUCCUCGGCCCACCAUAUCGACGCGCUGUUUUGGAUGACCUUUGAAAGGGUUGUUCAGGCGAUCAUGGUUGGGGGCCUUAGCUCAGCUGGGAGAGCACCUGCUUUGCAAGCAGGGGGUCAUCGGUUCGAUCCCGAUAGGCUCCACCAUUUCGAACUCCAGAGAUGAAGACAACAUAUUCCGCGAGGGCCUUUGGGCUCUGGUGGUUGCGCAGACCGAAGCUGGUCUGUUCUUUGACAUUGUGAAUGGGUUUUUUAAUCGAUGCCGUGGUUGCAUCGUGGCGGUUCCGCAAGGGAUCGUUCGCGUUGCCAAUCACACAUUCAUUUCAAAAUGAAUAUCUGGCUGAGAAUAAUCAUCCACACCGAUAAGCCGUGGCAGCAUGCCGAGAGGCUGGGGUGAGGGUUGGUGCAGACACAAGACUGUGCCGAUCGUGCAUCCUGCCAGUGCUGACA